GCCUUCUGUCUGAAUCAUGUUAAUAACAAUCGUUAAAACUUUCAACAACGGAUCUCUUGGUUCUCGCAUCGAUNAAGAACGCAGCGAAAUGCGAUAAGUAGUGUGAAUUGCAGAAUUCAGUGAAUCAUCGAAUCUUUGAACGCACAUUGCGCCUCCUGGUAUUCCGGGAGGCAUGCC
This 177-nucleotide ribosomal RNA is filed under the name Otidea smithii. RNAcentral describes it as "5.8S ribosomal RNA". The stretch from base 37 to 177 matches the Rfam family "5.8S ribosomal RNA". Rfam says of the family: 5.8S ribosomal RNA (5.8S rRNA) is a component of the large subunit of the eukaryotic ribosome. It is transcribed by RNA polymerase I as part of the 45S precursor that also contains 18S and 28S rRNA. Functionally, it is thought that 5.8S rRNA may be involved in ribosome translocation. The record is from RNAcentral. Lineage: Eukaryota; Fungi; Ascomycota; Pezizomycetes; Pezizales; Pyronemataceae.